Molecule: long non-coding RNA, 681 nt
Organism: Haliotis rubra (blacklip abalone)
Lineage: Eukaryota; Metazoa; Mollusca; Gastropoda; Lepetellida; Haliotidae
Exons: 3
Source: RefSeq, a predicted model, not a curated record
GCCCGCCUCUAUUCCGGUUGAUCGUUAUUCAGAAUACGUGUAUUGGUGUGUCUCGCUGCACAACCACUGCUGGUCCAAGUAAACAUUCCCCCACAAUACGCGGUCAUGUGAUGAGCACUGUCCUAGAUUCACCCGGCUACAGGGACGACCUACCCACGUCAACAGCUGGAGACUGAAGCUGCUCGAAGUGCAACAGAGGCAGCUGGUCGGGACAUAAAAGAUCUUAGCGUCAUGUAAAACAUGUCAGUGUGUUCCUUGUGCUGUUGAGGAUGUGCUGUGGAUGGGCCAUACUAUCGGGGCUGUUGGCCGCCAUGUUUAUCACGGCAGGUGCCAUGAAACUGCUCCCAUUCCCAGCAAGUCUACACAGCGGAAUGAUAGCUGAAUUCACAUACUACGCAACAAUGUUCCCGGGAAAUUACAUUGGUUGCCCAAUCAACGCACUGACCUACAUGUAUGUUGCCGGGGUGGUGGAUUUCAGCCUCGGUUUGGGCUUGAUGUUUGGAACACGAAAGGUGAAGGUCGUCUGUACAGUCGGCGUGAUGGCUGACAUGGCCUUGUUCCUAGCGACAGAAGUAAGCCUUGGAAUGUACGAGAAAAGUCUGGUACCCAUGGCAACACUAAUCAUGUCCUUUUGUCUGUAUAGACAUUUGACAGAUAAAAUUAAAACAAUAUAAGAAUAUA